Molecule: ribosomal RNA, 253 nt
Filed under: uncultured bacterium
Lineage: Bacteria
Description: partial 16S ribosomal RNA
Rfam family: Bacterial small subunit ribosomal RNA
Source: RNAcentral
UACAGAGGUCUCAAGCGUUGUUCGGAUUCAUUGGGCGUAAAGGGUGCGUAGGUGGCGCUGUAAGUCGGGUGUGAAAUUUCGGAGCUUAACUCCGAAACUGCAUUCGAUACUGCGGUGCUUGAGGACUGGAGAGGAGACUGGAAUUCAUGGUGUAGCAGUGAAAUGCGUAGAGAUCAUGAGGAAGACCAGUGGCGAAGGUGGGUCUCUGGGCCGAUACUGACGCUGAGGAGCGAAAGCGUGGGGAGCGAACAGG